AGAAAAAAAUAAUUAAAAAAAUAAGCCCUAUCAACUUUAGAUUGUAGAGUAUUUGGCCUACAAUGGUUUUCAACGGAUAACGGGGAAAUAAGGAUUAGAUUCCGGGAGAGGAAGCCUGAGAAACGGUACCACAUCCAAGGAAAGCAGCAGGCGCGCAAAUUACCCAAUCCCGACGCGGGGAGGUAGUGACAAUAAAUACUGAUACAGGGCUCUUUAGGGUCUUGUAAUUGGAAUGAGUACAAUUUAAACCCCUUAACGAGGAACAAUUGGAGGGCAAGUCUGGUGCCAGCAGCCGCGGUAAUUCCAGCUCCAAUAGCGUAUAUUAAAGUUGUUGCAGUUAAAAAGCUCGUAGUUGAACCUUGGGCCUGGCUGGCCGGUCCGCCUCACCGCGUGCACUGGUCCGGCCGGGCCUUUCCUUCUGGAGAGCCGCAUGCCCUUCACUGGGCGUGUCGGGGAACCAGGACUUUUACUUUGAAAAAAUUAGAGUGUUCAAAGCAGGCCUUUGCUCGAAUACGUUAGCAUGGAAUAAUAGAAUAGGACGUGCGGUCCUAUUUUGUUGGUUUCUAGGACCGCCGUAAUGAUUAAUAGGGAUAGUCGGGGGCAUCAGUAUUCAAUUGUCAGAGGUGAAAUUCUUGGAUUUAUUGAAGACUAACUACUGCGAAAGCAUUUGCCAAGGAUGUUUUCAUUAAUCAGUGAACGAAAGUUAGGGGAUCGAAGACGAUCAGAUACCGUCGUAGUCUUAACCGUAAACUAUGCCGACUAGGG
This 765-nucleotide ribosomal RNA is filed under the name Psiloglonium multiseptatum. RNAcentral's name for it is "SSU rRNA". It matches the Rfam family "Eukaryotic small subunit ribosomal RNA", at positions 285 to 1051 of the family's 1831-position model. Lineage: Eukaryota; Fungi; Ascomycota; Dothideomycetes; Hysteriales; Hysteriaceae. The record is from RNAcentral.